Molecule: long non-coding RNA, 1143 nt
Filed under: Marmota monax (woodchuck)
Lineage: Eukaryota; Metazoa; Chordata; Mammalia; Rodentia; Sciuridae
Source: RNAcentral
AUUAACUAAGAAAAGGGGAUUUGUUAAAGUGAGACCCAUUCAAAAUUGGCAUGUGGUACCAAGGCAGGCUAUUCUGGGACAACCCCAAAUAGAUUUAAAUCAGAAAACAUUUCAUAAUGAAAAGAUGGAAGCAGUUGUAGCAUCAAAAAAGAAACCUUUCUUUUCUUCUGAAUAAUCUUUGCAGCUCUUGUUUUUAGGCCUAUGAAGUUAUUAGUUGCACAUUUUCACCUAAAUCAUUUGGUUCUCUUUUCUUGCCUUCAAGCUGUAAAGAAGACUAACUAGCUGUGUUGGCAUCAUAAAUGUCUUUUCCUGAUUAAUCUGAGAAGGCCAGAAUUAAGACAAACAAACACACAUGAGUUUCACUCUUGGUUUGAUUAUGGAAAUACGAGGGCUCCUAUUUCUGAAAAUUUGGAUACUUGGGUUUCCAUGAUAAUGGCUUACUACACAUCUUUAGAGAGUUAAUAAUGCCAAAGUCACAUAGUCAGGACCGCCUCUUCUUGUAAUUGCAAUGGCCAUCUGAAUGGCUUUGACAUGGCUCUCGUUCAGGGGAGGCCAUAGCUUCCUUAGCCAGCCUGCACUUGGCUUCCUCAUGCACACUGCCCUCACAACCCCAGUCCUCAGAGCCAGUCACAGGUGCUUUCUUUACUCACAUAGUAAAGAGGCAACCUAGGGAAAUCAAGAAAGGCAGGGGACUGAGAGCCAGGAGCAAAGGGCUCAAGUUCUAGCCAGGCACCAGGGGACUCUGACAUGAGCACAUCAAUUUUUAUUUCUUCAUUUGCAGUCUCAGUUCACUUGUCUGUGAAAAUUGGAGACUUGACUACAUGAUUUCCAACAGCUUUUAAAGUGGAAAUUUUCUUCAAUCCACUGAUUUCCAGUUAGUUUAUAUUGGCAGAGAAGAGCCUGCCUCUCCUUUCUGUCCCUUUCAUUAUUGUAGAACGGACUUAACCUCAGAGAGGAAUUGCAGAGGCAGCAAAAAAAGAAGGUGGAGGGUCUGCUAGGGGGUUGCUAGGUGUGCUAGGGAUGACUGGACAUUUAGACAGGAAGUCAAUAUGAAUUUCCACCAUUGCCACAGCUCAGAAGGUGGAGGGCUGUUUGGCUUUUUUAGGGCCAUGCCUCUUGCUACCAUUUGGUGGCUUAUUUUCC